This is a long non-coding RNA of Hyaena hyaena (striped hyena), 446 nucleotides long. RefSeq lists it as uncharacterized. The record is from RefSeq and is a predicted model, not a curated record. NCBI's taxonomy places the organism in Eukaryota, Metazoa, Chordata, Mammalia, Carnivora, Hyaenidae. The transcript is spliced from 3 exons.
GAAGACACAGAGGAAAGGCCGUGUGCACACACAGUGAGAAGGUAUCUGUCUGCAAAUCCAGCAGAGAAGCAUCAGGGGAAAACAAACACAGACACCUUGAUCUUGCCAUCUCUGAUUCUUAACCGCGUUGCAUACUGUCUCCUAUGUGAAGGCACGGGGCAAUCCCUCCAGUUAAAGUUUUGCAAAAGACAGAAUGGUGCUCAAAUGGAAACUCUUGUAAAAUGAGGGCUGAAGGAAAAUAAUGUAACAAAAGCUCUGCACGGCUUCCUGUCGCAUUAGUCAGGCUCACACCCUGCUCCACAAGUAAUUGUGGCUUGGCUUAAAUGUCUGUUCUGUGUGCAUUAGUCUUGACUGCCCAACGUGAUGGUAAGCUCUUUGAGGGAAAGGAUUUGUCUUUCAAAAUUUCUCUUCUUCUUGCGACCUCAUGCUGAGCAUGUAGAAAAUAG